CCCAAAGACAAGGUGCUUAAUUAAGUUUUUUUUUUUUUUUUUUUUUUAAACAGCAAGCUGGAACAACAGAAGCUAAACAAACACCAUUCUUCAGAGGCUGGAGAAAGCUUCCAGAGGUGACGCAGCCAUAUGCCAGGAGGGGAUGGAGAGAAUCAGGAGACAGAAUCAGGCUUACGGAAGCCAGACGGAGUGUCUCAGUGAUAAAGCUGGCCUCAAAGGAGAGGAAGGGCUGACCCGGCUCCCUUCCCCAGGCAACUUACUGCCGAGGAGGCCUCGCUGAAACGGCUCUCCACUCCCGCUGGCCUGCAGCCAGCCAAGCGGCGGGAGGAACAGCGUCGGCAAGCUGCAUCCCGAAGAUAGCCCGCUCCCGGACUAGGAAAAUAAGCACACUCCGAGUUAUCUGCCUCGAGCUAGCAGCAGGCCGCCCGUCCGUUAUGUGAAACGGGCGGGACUGAGGCAGGGAAGUGUUUUAAAUAUCUUGUUUUGUUUUGUUAUUUUUUGGCCAAUUGGAACCGAGGCCGGCUUCAGGCACGGUGACAGAAGGGCUCACCUUCAGAGCAUGGAACUGACCGAGUCAUGUUACAGCCACAAAGACGUAAUUAGGACUUGUCCCUACCUUGGAGAAGAGGUGCCCUCCAGAAGGCUUUUUUUUUUUUUUUUUUAAACUUCUUCCUAGGAGGGGCUGGUUGGUAGGAUCCAAAAAAUGGAGGGAGGCGGAAAGGGCAGGUGGAGGGGAGGGGAGGGGUGCGGGGUACAUGGCCAUCAGGCAGAUGGCCGCGGUGUGGGUGCGGAGAGACUUAAGGGAUGCAGGAAGAAAAGGAGAAUCAGAAGGAUGAUGAUUCUGGACCUCCCCUGACCUGCUCUUUUUGUCCCCAGCAAUUACCGUUAUGGAAAGAGGAGCACGUGUUUAUUUCCUGUUUGUUUCUUUGUCCCACUAGACCAGUGGCAAUGUCAGGAGACAUUUUAGGCUGUCCCAUCUGGAGGAAGGGGACUGCUACUACGAUCUAGAGGGUCCUAAACACUCUACCACACACAGGACAGCUCCCCCCCCACCCCCCACAACAGAGAACUAGCCAGCCCUGAGUAUCCCUAACGCCAAGGCUAAGAAAGCCUGCUGUAAACCGAGAGCUUUAGGAAGGGAGAGCCUGGUGUGAAAUUCUUCACCUUUGUGCCCUACAAGUGGCAGAGCUCAAUUAAACGCCACCUCCCACCUGGA
Neogale vison (American mink) is the source of this 1216-nucleotide long non-coding RNA. RefSeq lists it as uncharacterized. The record is from RefSeq and is a predicted model, not a curated record. NCBI's taxonomy places the organism in Eukaryota, Metazoa, Chordata, Mammalia, Carnivora, Mustelidae. The transcript has 2 exons.